RNAcentral lists this ribosomal RNA (454 nucleotides) under uncultured bacterium. Its description in RNAcentral is "bacterial SSU rRNA". It matches the Rfam family "Bacterial small subunit ribosomal RNA", at positions 340 to 786 of the family's 1533-position model. The record is from RNAcentral.
UACGGAAGGCAGCAGUGGGGAAUAUUGCACAAUGGGCGAAAGCCUGAUGCAGCUAUGUCGCGUGUAUGAAGAAGGCCUUAGGGUUGUAAAGUACUUUCAUCGGGGAGGAAAAACAAAACUAAUAAUUUUAUUUCUUGACGUUACCCGAAAAAGAAGCACCGGCUAACUCCGUGCCAGCAGCCGCGGUAAUACGGAGGGUGCUAGCGUUAAUCAGAAUUACUGGGCGUAAAGAGCACGUAGGUGGUUUUUUAAGUCAGAUGUGAAAUCCCUGGGCUUAACCUAGGAACUGCAUUUUGAAACUGAAAUACUAGAGUAUCGUAGAGGGAGGUAGAAUUCUAGGUGUAGCGGUGAAAUGCGUAGAUAUCUGGAGGAAUACCUGUGGCGAAAGCGGCCUCCUAAACGAAUACUGACACUGAGGUGCGAAAGCGUGGGGAGCAAACAGGGAUUAGAUACC